GGAGCAGCCUGAUGUGAUGGACGCUCUCAGGAGUUCGUGGGCUGAGAAAGAAAGCACAUUGAAGAGAUCAGAGAAGAGAGACAAAGAGCUCCUGAAGGCUGCGUUCGUCCUGGUCUACCACGACUGCGCGCUCCCUCUCCUCCAGUCCAC
Long non-coding RNA from Equus quagga, 150 nucleotides. RefSeq lists it as uncharacterized. Lineage: Eukaryota; Metazoa; Chordata; Mammalia; Perissodactyla; Equidae. The record is from RefSeq and is a predicted model, not a curated record. The transcript has 3 exons.